RNAcentral lists this ribosomal RNA (601 nucleotides) under uncultured bacterium. Its description in RNAcentral is "bacterial SSU rRNA". It matches the Rfam family "Bacterial small subunit ribosomal RNA", at positions 744 to 1345 of the family's 1533-position model. The record is from RNAcentral.
CGCUGAGGCGCGAAAGUGUGGGGAGCAAACAGGAUUAGAUACCCUGGUAGUCCACACUGUAAACGAUGAAUGCUAGGUGUAGGAGGUAUCGACCCCUUCUGUGCCGCAGUCAACACAAUAAGCAUUCCGCCUGGGGAGUACGGCCGCAAGGUUGAAACUCAAAGGAAUUGACGGGGGCCCGCACAAGCAGCGGAGCAUGUGGUUUAAUUCGACGCAACGCGAAGAACCUUACCAGGUCUUGACAUCCAGUAAAAACCUGAGAGAUCAGGUGUGUCUUCGGACAUACUGAGACAGGUGGUGCAUGGUUGUCGUCAGCUCGUGUCGUGAGAUGUUGGGUUAAGUCCCGCAACGAGCGCAACCCUUGUGUUCAGUUGCUAACAGGUGAAGCUGAGAACUCUGAACAGACUGCCGGGGACAACUCGGAGGAAGGUGGGGACGACGUCAAAUCAUCAUGCCCCUUAUGACCUGGGCUACACACGUGCUACAAUGGCCACCACAGAGAGGGGCAAGCCCGCAAGGGGGAGCAGAUCUCAAAAAAGUGGUCCCAGUUCGGAUUGUGGGCUGCAACCCGCCCACAUGAAGUCGGAGUGCUAGUAAUCGC